AGCAUGACAACGAGGCCGCAUUCGGAACCUACGAGGCCUUCAUUCCCCACAAUUCAACCAGCUCGAAAGUAGCUGCAACGACGGAAGUUGUGACUGUGGCGUCAACACGAUCAGAGUUCGAGACUUUGAUAUCAACUGUAGUUUCUUGGACGACCAGCAUUACUACCGAGGUCGUCCCUUACGUGUCCACAAUGACAGUCACAAGCACAUACCAUGAUAUCGUCCAGGUCGUGGAGUCGGUUCAGUCCAGCUUGCGAACACCUGAUAUACACACUUGUAUUUUUGUUUUGCAUACAUAUCAAAGAGUAGAAAACACGUACAACAAAAGAACACCUGUACUCCCGCGCAUACAACAACGGCCGACGUAUUGCCAUUUAUCCCUUGAUGGUAUAUUUUCCUCUACCAGGUGAUUGAAGUGUGGCAGACCGUGGUGUGGCAGACGGCUAAGCAAAUCAUGUUCCUGCAGGAGAUGCUGACGGGACAGGAACUUACUGUAACAGU
This 501-nucleotide unclassified non-coding RNA is filed under the name Penaeus chinensis. Its description in RNAcentral is "uncharacterized LOC125033013, transcript variant X2". The record is from RNAcentral. Lineage: Eukaryota; Metazoa; Arthropoda; Malacostraca; Decapoda; Penaeidae.